CCUACGGGAGGCAGCAGUGAGGAAUAUUGGUCAAUGGGCGAGAGCCUGAACCAGCCAAGUCGCGUGAGGGAGUACUGCCCUAUGGGUUGUAAACCUCUUUUGUCGGGGAGCAAAAGCCGGACGUGUCCGGCUGUGAGAGUACCCGAAGAAAAAGCAUCGGCUAACUCCGUGCCAGCAGCCGCGGUAAUACGGAGGAUGCGAGCGUUAUCCGGAUUUAUUGGGUUUAAAGGGUGCGCAGGCGGAUUUUUAAGUCAGCGGUAAAAUCGUGGGGCUCAACCCCAUCCAGCCGUUGAAACUGGGGAUCUAGAGUGUGCGAGAGGUAUGCGGAAUGCGUGGUGUAGCGGUGAAAUGCAUAGCUAUCACGCAGAACCCCGAUUGCGAAGGCAGCAUACCGGUGCACAACUGACGCUCAGGCACGAAAGCGUGGGUAUCGAACAGGAUUAGAUACCCCAGUAGUC
This 458-nucleotide ribosomal RNA is filed under the name uncultured bacterium. Its description in RNAcentral is "partial 16S ribosomal RNA". It matches the Rfam family "Bacterial small subunit ribosomal RNA", at positions 338 to 795 of the family's 1533-position model. The record is from RNAcentral.